Molecule: small nuclear RNA, 102 nt
Organism: Lontra canadensis (Northern American river otter)
Lineage: Eukaryota; Metazoa; Chordata; Mammalia; Carnivora; Mustelidae
Source: RefSeq, a predicted model, not a curated record
GUACUUGCUUCAGCAACACAUAUACUAAAAUUGGAAUGAUACAAAGAUUAGCAUGCCCCUGUGCAAGGAUGACUCCAAAUUCAUGAAGCAUUCCAUUUUUUC